ACGCCGUUGGCGAAGCCAGGCUGUCCUAGGAAGCCGAGUGGGAGUGGCACGGAGCUGCUGGAGGUGCUGAGAACCUGAGUUUCGGCAAGCAGCCAGAAUAUUUUAAAAAUGACUACACCAAACAAGACACCUCCUGGUGCUGACCCCAAGCAGUUGGAAAGGACUGGAACAGUACGGGAAAUUGGGUCACAAGCUGUUUGGUCACUCUCAUCUUGCAAACCAGGAUUUGGAGUGGAUCAGUUACGAGAUGACAAUCUAGAAACUUAUUGGCAAUCAGAUGGUUCCCAGCCUCAUUUAGUGAACAUCCAAUUCAGCAACUUGAGUUGGUGGAACCAAGUGGCUGGAUUCAUGUUCCCUUAACUGACAAUCAUAAGAAGCCAACUCGUACAUUCAUGAUACAGAUUGCUGUUCUAGCCAAUCACCAAAAUGGAAGAGACACCCAUAUGAGACAAAUUAAAAUAUACACACCAGUAGAAGAGAGCUCCAUUGGUAAAUUUCCUAGAUGUACAACUAUAGAUUUCAUGAUGUAUCGUUCAAUAAGGUGACUUUAAAAUGAGAUGAAAAUCAUUAAAUGUAUCUUUGUUUUAUCCUGUAUUUAAAUAAUAUAUCAGGUACCUUUAUUGAACAAGGCAUCCGUUAUAUGUAAUUUUGUAUAUGUUUAAAAAUAUUUUAUUGUAACUUUGACAAAUAAAUUUGGGGUCAUAUUAUCUUUAUUUUCUUUA
This 722-nucleotide small RNA is filed under the name Pan troglodytes (chimpanzee). RNAcentral describes it as "processed transcript". The record is from RNAcentral. Lineage: Eukaryota; Metazoa; Chordata; Mammalia; Primates; Hominidae.